This 1935-nucleotide long non-coding RNA is filed under the name Panax ginseng (ginseng). RNAcentral's name for it is "long non-coding RNA (PGIN_LNC011750)". The record is from RNAcentral. Lineage: Eukaryota; Viridiplantae; Streptophyta; Magnoliopsida; Apiales; Araliaceae.
UUUAUAUAAUUCUAAAAAUUCAAAAUUUAUAUGAUUUCAGUUUUGAAAAUGAGAAAUAUGAUAAUUAAUAUAGUACUUUAUAAUUAGAUUAUAAUUACUAUUUUAAAACUAAAUAAUUUCGUAUUGAUUUUGGUGAAUUGACUCUAAAAAGUCAAAAUGUAUUUCUAAUUAAGAACUGAAAUAUAAAUUUAGGGGUGAGAUAGAAUCAAAAAUAUAUCCCUAUAAUUUGUAAAUUUUGCAAAUGGAGCUCCUUUUGUGGAAUGGAUGACGGAGUAUGAUUUAUGACACUUUAUGCAAAGCCCACAUCAAACACUGUGUAUUCCAGAUUGUUAUAGAAUGUUUUGUUUGAGAAAAUCUUAAUUGUUGUUCUAGCUCGGUCAACUUUGCCUUUCUUUGUUAGUUUAACUUUAAUAGAGUUUGUUUACUAAGCUGUUUGCUCCAUGUAGGCUGUAUAAGUUUCUCUUUCCCUUUAUGUCAAAACUAUAUUAUCGUGAAACAAAAAUCUCUUCUGACUCGGAAAUAAUAACUUUGCAUACAAUUUUAGUAUUUCCUAGUUAUUUUAGAAGAUUGCAUACAAUAGUUAUGCAUACUAAAAUUUGUACAUCCCACAAGCCUAUUUCCUAAUUGCUAGAUUGAAUAGUUCAUAUGAUCCUAAAACGGAUGUAAGAGUUAAAAAGUGAAAUUAUAUUUGCACUCCACAUUUUUGCAUUUACGCUUAAUCUUACUUUUUAAGUUUAAGAAAUUACAGAAAACUGCAUUUAUCAAUAUGUAUCAUAUAUAUAUGUGUGUGUGCACGCGCAUGCAUACGUACAGAACAUGGAGUUAGUGGUGGCCACAUCCAUUGAAUUUUUUAAUAAAAAAAGUACUCCAUACUAGAUUUAGUUACAGUUAAGUGAAAGAAUUUUUUCAUUUCCUUUUCUUUGCAUCUUUAUACCCAAAUCAAAUAAGACUCUUAAGCCAUGUAGUCUCUCUCUUCUCUCCUUAUCUUUGCACAAGAAUUUAAUAUUUGUUUUUUUCCCUAUCCUUUUACUAUACGUUCAUGUACUACCAGUGUGCCUUAUGUUUGUUUAUGAUUGAUUUUUUUAAUGUAAUUUUAAUAAUUUGAUUUUUACUUUUUGUGGCACUAUUAUAAAAAAGUUUAAAAAUAAUUAUUAAAUUUAUUCAAAUAAAAUGGAUUAGGAAUUGUAAAUAUGAAUAUACUUUACUUAACGUUAAAAUGUAUUUUUAAUUUUAUUAAAAUAAUUAAUUAUUUAUACUAGGUCACUUCCCCCUCAUCAAAUGAUAUGGUAUUUGGUGGUUUCAAAUAAUCUAGUUAUUCAAUCAAAUAGUAUGAGUAUCUGAGAUAGUUGUUAUGAUGAGUACGAACAUGACUUUUAUGGUUGGUUGGUCGAUGUUAUAGAGGUAAAAGUAUUUUGGAAAAGGUGACAAGGUGGUUAUGUUUAAAUGUGAGUGGUAUGAUACGGAGGGAAAUGCCAGUAAAAGACUUUGUGACCGGUUUAAGGGGAUCAUAAUUAAUUUGAGGAGAGACCCAUUUGGAGUUAUACUUGGUAGAAAAUACUAUAGAAAACGAAAAAAACCUGAAGAUUUGGAGUUUGGUGAUAAUUAAGAUUUGGAACUAAUUCAUAAUUCAUAAUCUCUGUUCUAAAAAUCGGCCUAGGCGGGGGCCUGGCGCCGCGCCUAAGGCCAAAUCGGUGAAAAAAGCGGGCUAGGCGGGUUAGGCGGCCUAGGCGGGAAAGGCGGGGCCUAGGCGGAGUUUUUUUUUUUUUAAAUUACUACCAAAACCAAAUCUUGAUAUAUUUAUUUUUUUUAAUGAUUUACCAUAUUCUUAAUGCAAGUUGUAGUAUAUCAAAUCACAACAAGAAGUGAACAAGAUCAAGUCAAAAUGGAUAAUUUUAUUAUAGUUGUAAUUUUUUGAACUUGUACCAACUUGAAAUU